Molecule: ribosomal RNA, 557 nt
Filed under: uncultured Rhizobium sp.
Lineage: Bacteria; Pseudomonadati; Pseudomonadota; Alphaproteobacteria; Hyphomicrobiales; Rhizobiaceae
Description: bacterial SSU rRNA
Rfam family: Bacterial small subunit ribosomal RNA
Source: RNAcentral
ACGGGUGAGUAACGCGUGGGAAUCUACCCAUCCCUACGGAACAACUCCGGGAAGCUGGAGCUAAUACCGUAUACGCCCUUUGGGGGAAAGAUUUAUCGGGGAUGGAUGAGCCCGCGUUGGAUUAGCUAGUUGGUGGGGUAAAGGCCUACCAAGGCGACGAUCCAUAGCUGGUCUGAGAGGAUGAUCAGCCACAUUGGGACUGAGACACGGCCCAAACUCCUACGGGAGGCAGCAGUGGGGAAUAUUGGACAAUGGGCGCAAGCCUGAUCCAGCCAUGCCGCGUGAGUGAUGAAGGUCUUAGGAUUGUAAAGCUCUUUCACCGGAGAAGAUAAUGACGGUAUCCGGAGAAGAAGCCCCGGCUAACUUCGUGCCAGCAGCCGCGGUAAUACGAAGGGGGCUAGCGUUGUUCGGAAUUACUGGGCGUAAAGCGCACGUAGGCGGAUAUUUAAGUCAGGGGUGAAAUCCCAGAGCUCAACUCUGGAACUGCCUUUGAUACUGGGUAUCUUGAGUAUGGAAGAGGUAAGUGGAAUUGCGAGUGUAGAGGUGAAAUUCGUAGA